UACGGGGGGGGCAAGCGUUGUUCGGAAUUACUGGGCGUAAAGGGCUCGUAGGCGGCCAACUAAGUCAGACGUGAAAUCCCUCGGCUUAACCGGGGAACUGCGUCUGAUACUGGAUGGCUUGAAUCCGGGAGAGGGAUGCGGAAUUCCAGGUGUAGCGGUGAAAUGCGUAGAUAUCUGGAGGAACACCGGUGGCGAAGGCGGCAUCCUGGACCGGUAUUGACACUGAGGCGCGAAAGCCAGGGGAGCAAACGGG
RNAcentral lists this ribosomal RNA (253 nucleotides) under uncultured bacterium. Its description in RNAcentral is "partial 16S ribosomal RNA". It matches the Rfam family "Bacterial small subunit ribosomal RNA", at positions 524 to 776 of the family's 1533-position model. The record is from RNAcentral.